Molecule: ribosomal RNA, 374 nt
Filed under: uncultured bacterium
Lineage: Bacteria
Description: bacterial SSU rRNA
Rfam family: Bacterial small subunit ribosomal RNA
Source: RNAcentral
AUACGUAGGUGGCAAGCGUUGUCCGGAAUUAUUGGGCGUAAAGGGUGCGUAGGCGGCAGUUUAAGUGGGAUGUGAAAUACCUGGGCUUAACUCAGGAAUUGCAUUCCAAACUGGACUGCUAGAGUGCAGGAGAGGAAAGUGGAAUUCCCAGUGUAGCGGUGAAAUGCGUAGAGAUUGGGAGGAACACCAGUGGCGAAGGCGACUUUCUGGACUGUAACUGACGCUGAGGCACGAAAGCGUGGGGAGCAAACAGGAUUAGAUACCCUGGUAGUCCACGCUGUAAACUAUGAGUACUAGGUGUGGGGGGCGAAGCCCUCUGUGCCGCAGUUAACACAAUAAGUACUCCGCCUGGGAAGUACGAUCGCAAGAUUAAA